Molecule: ribosomal RNA, 475 nt
Filed under: uncultured organism
Description: partial 16S ribosomal RNA
Rfam family: Bacterial small subunit ribosomal RNA
Source: RNAcentral
ACUCCUGCGGGAGGCAGCAGUGGGGAAUAUUGCACAAUGGGCGCAAGCCUGAUGCAGCCAUGCCGCGUGUAUGAAGAAGGCCUUCGGGUUGUAAAGUACUUUCAGCGGGGAGGAAGGCGAUAAGGUUAAUAACCUUGUUGAUUGACGUUACCCGCAGAAGAAGCACCGGCUAACUCCGUGCCAGCAGCCGCGGUAAUACGGAGGGUGCAAGCGUUAAUCGGAAUUACUGGGCGUAAAGCGCACGCAGGCGGUCUGUCAAGUCGGAUGUGAAAUCCCCGGGCUCAACCUGGGAACUGCAUUCGAAACUGGCAGGCUAGAGUCUUGUAGAGGGGGGUAGAAUUCCAGGUGUAGCGGUGAAAUGCGUAGAGAUCUGGAGGAAUACCGGUGGCGAAGGCGGCCCCCUGGACAAAGACUGACGCUCAGGUGCGAAAGCGUGGGGAGCAAACAGGAUUAGAAACCCUUGUAGUCCCAUGAU